CUCGUAGGCGGCUUGUCGCGUCUGGUGUGAAAGGCAUGGGCUCAACCUGUGGACUGCAUUGGAAACUGUCAUACUUGAGUGCCGGAGGGGUAAGCGGAAUUCCUAGUGUAGCGGUGAAAUGCGUAGAUAUAUGGAGGAACACCGGUGGCGAAAGCGGCUCUCUGGUCUGUAACUGACGCUGAGGCUCGAAAGCGUGGGAGCGAACA
This 206-nucleotide ribosomal RNA is filed under the name uncultured bacterium. RNAcentral's name for it is "partial 16S ribosomal RNA". It matches the Rfam family "Bacterial small subunit ribosomal RNA", at positions 568 to 774 of the family's 1533-position model. The record is from RNAcentral.